RNAcentral lists this ribosomal RNA (460 nucleotides) under uncultured bacterium. RNAcentral's name for it is "partial 16S ribosomal RNA". It matches the Rfam family "Bacterial small subunit ribosomal RNA", at positions 338 to 795 of the family's 1533-position model. The record is from RNAcentral.
CCUACGGGAGGCAGCAGUGAGGAAUAUUGGUCAAUGGACGCGAGUCUGAACCAGCCAAGUAGCGUGAAGGAUGACUGCCCUAUGGGUUGUAAACUUCUUUUAUCUGGGAAUAAAAUGUUCCACGUGUGGGAUUUUGUAUGUACCAUAUGAAUAAGCAUCGGCUAACUCCGUGCCAGCAGCCGCGGUAAUACGGAGGAUCCGAGCGUUAUCCGGAUUUAUUGGGUUUAAAGGGAGCGUAGGUGGAUUGUUAAGUCAGUUGUGAAAGUUUGCGGCUCAACCGUAAAAUUGCAGUUGAAACUGGCAGUCUUGAGUACAGUAGAGGUGGGCGGAAUGCGUGGUGUAGCGGUGAAAUGCUUAGAUAUCACGAAGAACUCCGAUUGCGAAGGCAGUUCACUGGACUGCAACUGACACUGAGGCUCGAAAGUGUGGGUAUCAAACAGGAUUAGAUACCCCUGUAGUC